Molecule: long non-coding RNA, 627 nt
Organism: Bos taurus (domestic cattle)
Lineage: Eukaryota; Metazoa; Chordata; Mammalia; Artiodactyla; Bovidae
Source: Ensembl
AGCCCUAUAGCUAUUCAGGAACCAGAUUCUAACUUGGUGCGAAGCCAGUCUUGUGGUAGAGAGGAACAGGAAUGAAAGGAUGUGGAGGUGGUGAGGUUUCCUCUGAGGAAAAGCCCAGCAGUCCACCGCGAAGAAGGAUAUGUCUCAGAGGGGAGGGAACGCUUUUUUUUUUUCCCUCAGACUGAGCUCUCAUUGACCCCAGCUCCAAGCACAGCGUCCACCACGUGACUGGAUUCCUGCAGGCUCGUAGCGCUAGGAGAAUUCUAAUUGUGCAGAUCCCCAGAACAGCUGCAGCAUCCCGAGCCAGGAGCGCCAGACUCGUACUUCCGACCGGAUGCGGGGCUCAGCGCAGCUCUUAACACUCAGCCCUACGGGCCUGAGGCAGGGGCCUCCCCCACCACCACCCAACUUUUGCUCUCCAUCGGGGUCCCUUUCCUCCUAGAGACGCAGGGAGCAUGGUCUUUUCAGCUGCUACCGCCGCUCCUCCCUCUUGGGAUUCCUUUCAAUCCCACACUUGAUUUGGAGGAGGAGGAAUUCCCCAGCUUUCCCGCCCGCCCCCCACCCCUUGAUGCCCCUAACUGGCCUUCCAGGUAUUUAGUUGCUGCAGAUGUCAACUGGGAAUUAGGA